AUCUAGACCCACACUACUGUCAGCCAGUGGUGGACGUCACCCAAAGCAACUUCUCUCUGGAGUCUUUUCACUGUAACUCGCCCAGGAAGAUGAACUUUAGUCGUAUGGAUCCCAGCUGCACCAUCGGGUUCUACGCGCAGACUAAGAAAGACUUCGAGUCUUUGUGCUCAGCGGUCAGUGAAGCUUUGUCAUCCUCUAAAGAGAAGUA
Sinocyclocheilus rhinocerous is the source of this 208-nucleotide long non-coding RNA. RefSeq lists it as uncharacterized. NCBI's taxonomy places the organism in Eukaryota, Metazoa, Chordata, Actinopteri, Cypriniformes, Cyprinidae. The transcript has 3 exons. The record is from RefSeq and is a predicted model, not a curated record.